CUAAGAUAUCACGUUUCAUGCUCACUAAAAUUGGAAGAAUACACAGCAGGUCACCAUGGUCCCUGCACUGGGUGGGACACACCAACCUGAGAUGUUCCAUGUUUUG
This 106-nucleotide small nuclear RNA is filed under the name Fukomys damarensis (Damara mole-rat). Lineage: Eukaryota; Metazoa; Chordata; Mammalia; Rodentia; Bathyergidae. The record is from RNAcentral.